RNAcentral lists this ribosomal RNA (650 nucleotides) under uncultured Bacteroidota bacterium. Its description in RNAcentral is "uncultured Bacteroidetes bacterium partial 16S ribosomal RNA". It matches the Rfam family "Bacterial small subunit ribosomal RNA", at positions 52 to 694 of the family's 1533-position model. Lineage: Bacteria; Pseudomonadati; Bacteroidota. The record is from RNAcentral.
CACAUGCAAGUCGAGGGGCAGCAUAUUUAUAGCAAUAUARAUGAUGGCGACCGGCGCACGGGUGAGUAACACGUAUCCAACCUCCCUUUUACUCGGGRAUAGCCUUUCGAAAGAAAGAUUAAUACCCGAUAGUAUAUGGUUUUCUCAUGAAGACYYUAUUAAAGAAUUUCGGUAAAAGAUGGGGAUGCGUUCCAUUAGGCAGUUGGCGGGGUAACGGCCCACCAAACCUACGAUGGAUAGGGGUUCUGAGAGGAAGGUCCCCCACAUUGGAACUGAGACACGGUCCAAACUCCUACGGGAGGCAGCAGUGAGGAAUAUUGGUCAAUGGGCGAGAGCCUGAACCAGCCAAGUAGCGUGAAGGAUGACUGCCCUAUGGGUUGUAAACUUCUUUUAUAAGGGAAUAAAGUGRRGKAYGURUMCYYYUUUGUAUGUACCUUAYGAAUAAGGAUCGGCUAACUCCGUGCCAGCAGCCGCGGUAAUACGGAGGAUCCRAGCGUUAUCCGGAUUUAUUGGGUUUAAAGGGAGCGUAGGUUGACAUAUAAGUCAGCUGUGAAAGUUUACGGCUCAACCGUGAAAUUGCAGUUGAUACUGUAUGUCUUGAGUGUACAAGAGGUGGGCGGAAUUCGUGGUGUAGCGGUGAAAUGCUUAGA